RNAcentral lists this ribosomal RNA (255 nucleotides) under uncultured bacterium. RNAcentral describes it as "partial 16S ribosomal RNA". It matches the Rfam family "Bacterial small subunit ribosomal RNA", at positions 524 to 776 of the family's 1533-position model. The record is from RNAcentral.
UACAGAGGGGGCAAGCGUUGUUCGGAAUUACUGGGCGUAAAGGGCGCGUAGGCGGCCUGUUAAGUCGAACGUGAAAUCCCCGGGCUCAACCCGGGAACUGCGUCCGAUACUGGCAGGCUUGAAUCCGGGAGAGGGAUGCGGAAUUCCAGGUGUAGCGGUGAAAUGCGUAGAUAUCUGGAGGAACACCGGUGGCGAAGGCGGCCUGCUGGGCAGUUUAGCUGACACUGAGGCGCGACAGCGUGGGGAGCAAACAGG